AACUUUUGGCAAUGGAUCUCUGGGCUCUCGCAUCGAUGAAGAACGCAGCGAAAUGCGAUACGUAAUGUGAAUUGCAGAAUUCAGUGAAUCAUCGAAUCUUUGAACGCACCUUGCGCCCCUUGGUAUUCCGAGGGGCACACCCGUUUGAGUGUCGUGAAAAUCUCAACCUUCUCGGUUUCUUCUGGACACCGAAGGAGGCUUGGACUUUGGAGGUGUUUGCUGGCGUUUCCCGCCAGCUCCCGUCACAUGGAUUAGUGGGGUGCUCUUUGCCGAUCGUCGCCUUUUGAUCUGAUGGUUCCAUCUCUUGGUUUAUGCCUCUGUUAAUUUUUGCGCCCGUUUGUCACAGGCGCGCCGAGACAACGGUUGAGAGUGUCAAUCACCUAUGAACCCAUGAACCCUUGUCGUCAUACCGGGUGAGCUUACGCGCUUAACUUAGCCAUAGAAAUAAGCGGCGGCU
Molecule: unclassified non-coding RNA, 457 nt
Filed under: uncultured Lactarius
Lineage: Eukaryota; Fungi; Basidiomycota; Agaricomycetes; Russulales; Russulaceae
Description: sequence contains ITS2
Rfam family: 5.8S ribosomal RNA (bases 1-154)
Source: RNAcentral